This 433-nucleotide ribosomal RNA is filed under the name uncultured bacterium. Its description in RNAcentral is "partial 16S ribosomal RNA". It matches the Rfam family "Bacterial small subunit ribosomal RNA", at positions 29 to 507 of the family's 1533-position model. The record is from RNAcentral.
AACGAACGCUGGCGGCAGGCCUAACACAUGCAAGUCGAGCGGACCCUUCGGGGUUAGCGGCGGACGGGUGAGUAACGCGUGGGAAUAUGCCCUUCUCUACGGAAUAGUCCUGGGAAACUGGGGGUAAUACCGUAUACGCCCUUUGGGGGAAAGAUUUAUCGGGGAAGGAUUAGCCCGCGUUGGAUUAGGUAGUUGGUGGGGUAAUGGCCUACCAAGCCGACGAUCCAUAGCUGGUUUGAGAGGAUGAUCAGCCACACUGGGACUGAGACACGGCCCAGACUCCUACGGGAGGCAGCAGUGGGGAAUCUUAGACAAUGGGGGCAACCCUGGUCUAGCCAUGCCGCGUGAGUGAUGAAGGCCUUAGGGUUGUAAAGCUCUUUCAGCUGGGAAGAUAAUGACGGUACCAGCAGAAGAAGCCCCGGCUAACUCCGUG